Molecule: ribosomal RNA, 499 nt
Filed under: uncultured bacterium
Lineage: Bacteria
Description: partial 16S ribosomal RNA
Rfam family: Bacterial small subunit ribosomal RNA
Source: RNAcentral
GAUGAACGCUGGCGGCGUGCCUAAUACAUGCAAGUCGAGCGAACAGACGAGAGUGCUUGCACUCUCUGACGUUAGCGGCGGACGGGUGAGUAACACGUGGGUAACCUACCUAUAAGACUGGGAUAACUUCGGGAAACCGGAGCUAAUACCGGAUAAUAUUUAGCUUCGCAUGAAGCAAUAGUGAAAGACGGUUCUGCUGUCACUUAUAGAUGGACCCGCGGUGUAUUAGCUAGAUGGUGAGGUAACGGCUCACCAAGGCAACGAUACAUAGCCGACCUGAGAGGGUGAUCGGCCACACUGGGACUGAGACACGGCCCAGACUCCUACGGGAGGCAGCAGUAGGGAAUCUUCCGCAAUGGGCGAAAGUCUGACGGAGCAAUGCCGCGUGAGUGAAGAAGGUUUUCGGAUCGUAAAACUCUGUUGUAAGGGAAGAACAAGUACGUUAGUAACUGAACGUACCUUGACAGUACCUUACCAGAAAGCCACGGCUAACUACGUG